ACGACAUAUGUAUACAAGCCUCUAAGAGUACAUAAAUGUCAUAAAGGUCGAGACAAAGUCCCGCCAUACCAAACAAUACAUGUCUAAAUCAUACUAGCCAAACAAGCAACUCCGAAGCAAAUGGAGCACACCAACAUCUUUCGCUGAGCUGAUAGCCUACUUGGAGGGCUUUCGACCUGUUUAUCGGGACCUGCAGGCAUGAAACGCAGCGUCCCCAAGCAAAAGGGAUGUCAGUACGAAAAAUGUACCGAGUAUGUAAGGAACAUAAAUAAGUACAUAACAAACAAGGAAGAAAUAUAGAGUACUUGACUCAACUUGUAAGUCUGAAUAACUCUGUAAAUCAUGAUAUACUUUUAGCGUCAUGCAUAUGUGUAUGAAUGUCAUGUCAUGCAUAGGUACAUGUUUCAUAACAUCAUAAGCCUCUGAGGGCAUCCCAUUGUAUCAUAUCGGCCACUGUGGGUAAAAUCAUCAACGUAUAUUAGCUUAUUAGGUGGUGGUGCGUAUAUAAUGCCAUAACCUUUCCCAUAUCCCAUAUGCAUAUAUAUACAUACAUAUAUAUGCGUAUAUAACGCCAUCUAGUCACGGGUCAAUGUACAUGAUUACAAUGUACGUUAAUAAAAUCUUUUGGAUGUCAAGACCAUUUUGCCUUUGAGUAAUAUCAUAAAGUAAACUCUUUUCAACUUUCGUAUUUUGUUUUAGACCCAUAAACAGAUGAUAAAAUAUUAUGACACAUGGAAAUUCAAGAACAUAGAUAUCUCUAAUACUUCUAUGAAUAGAAUUAUUUAAGGAAUUUGUGCAUUUACACGUUUCGUUCAUAUUGUAUGGAUCAUGCCAAAAGAAAGAAGGGAUAACCUUCAUAUACCUGAGCCGAUUCUCUUCACAAUCCCUCUAACACACAUCAAUUGCGAUAAAACACGUUACAGCGGAUUGAAGUAGUGAAAACAAUCCAUGUAAUAUUCUUGAGAAAUUUUGCACCGUGCUCUCUUAGAAUCGCAAUUCCCGUUGCUAUUACCUUACAAAGUCUCGUAUGAAAUUGUUGUAGUAUAAGAAAAGGAAUCUUAGAAAAUCUCAUCUGAUCCCUUGCCAAGCUCAAAUCUUCAUCUAUGUAAAAAAUUUCUCCAUUAUUUUAAUAUGUGUUUGAGAUUAUGUUGGUGUAUAGCUUGAAUUAUAUUGAAUUUAAGCUUUUGCCAAUUUCAGCAAUCAGUGGGCUUGUGUCGUCCAAAACAUCUUGAGAUAAGCUUCCCUUUUUAGGCUUUAAAUGGUUGGGCCCCACAUGAUAAUGACUAAGCUACAUACUACAAAUAAAUGUGCCACCUUUCUCUCGUAGUAUAAGAGUCAUAAUGUGGAAUUAAGGGGCUGCCACGUUAGUAGCAGGGGGAAAGGAUUAAUCUUAUCCAAAUAUAUCUCCAAUUAAUUAGGUAAUGUCCCGUUACCUGGUAAUGAAUCAAUUACCCUUAAAAUUGAGAAUUAUUCCCACUUACUUAAAAUAUUACUCACUUUUCAUAUACCAUAUACACCUUACUAUUAUGGUCAUGUGGUACCUUGUAUGGUAGUAGUCCAUAAAUACCGAGUAUUUUAGCUCGAGCCAUAUUUUAUCCCAACAUGCCAAUAUUGGACGAAAAUUCAUUUUAUUUUACUUGCUUCCCCAUUCACCUUUACGAAUUUACUUAUUACUUGUUUGAAAUAGCAUAAUCCUUAUAAUCUUCAAAUAAUCUUUUCCUUGGACUAAUGUCAGUUACCUUAUGGAAAAUUCAACGUACAUCAUUACAGGGUGCAACAUCGUCGUAAUGUAGUAUUGCAGAACGUGGCAUCUCACUUUCUGGCUCUCAUAAAUUUAUUUAUCGCGUUUUUUUGUGUACGAAAAUAUGGGGAGUAACAUCAUUCCCCCCUUUGGAACAUUCGUCCUCGAAUGUUGACUGAUGCGCUUAUUGUCCUCAUAUCCCAUAGCUCUUGCGAAUACUUUAAUAGUCCUUUUGCCAUCUAGGCAACUGUUCUGUGAAUAAAUCAAAAGGCCAGGGUAUUCCCCCCUUUAGGCCUCUUUCCCACGCUAUGACUUGUGAUCGAAUUUCUUCCAAUCUCAUAACUGUUGCUACCUCAAACCAUGUAGCCUCUACGAUACUGACUUUGUCAGUAUGCCUAUACAACUCUUCUCUCCUUUUUUCUCUAGCUUUUAGCAAAUCUCUAGGCCUUACUUUGUCAAAAUAUACAAGGCUUAAUAGGAUGCCUCUCCAGGUAUCUAUAGGUGUACUGAAGUUCUUCGCUUGAUAAUUUGUAGAACUUGUGAAUAUGACUAUAUCUUAUUUCAUUGACCUAGUUAUCCAUACGUAUGACUUUACUGCAUCUACAUAUGUCAUAAUAUACCAUAAUCCUUAUUUCUAUUUAUCAUUACUGAGGUCUGCGACUAACUUCAAGUUACUCUCGUUACUUAUCCUUAAGACUGAUUGUCUAAUAUCAGCUCAUACUGUUGAACUUUUAUCCAUCUAUUGUUGUUUUACCUUAAUGUUGAUCCUUCAUCUACCACUGAUAAUUUGAUCUCUUAUGUAAUACCGCCCAGCAGAGACAUCCGGAGUAAUUAGAAUGAUCCACCUAGGGGUGAUACUAUACUUCCAUAAGUGUAUUUUAUAGCAUUCCAACGUGACUCACCUUAUAUGGGUAUUUUAGCCCCUUGUAAUUCAUGCAAUCCUCUUCACUUCAUUACUCAAUUGAAGGCCCAAAUGUCAUACCUUAUCUAUCAUAAUUACGUCUCUAUUCUACUACCAGAGCAACAUUCCAUCCCUUUUAAAUGCUACUAGUCUUAGACUCCUUUGAGUUCAUUCUGGCUAUACUAAGCCUUUUAUAACUUAGAGAAUCCAUCAGCUCUCUUAUUUUCAUGAGCUUAAUCCCAAGAACUUAUCCAUUCUUGUCACCUUUUCACUUACCUUUUCUUAUCCUUACUCAUAUCUUCCUAUAACCUUGUCGAUCUACCAUACUUUAGCUUGCGACCUACACAUAUCUAUUCACAUUUGUUCGUAACCUUCCCUCAACUUGCUUGCACCAUAGAUUUACUUAUGUUAUUCUGGAACAUCAAGCGAGACAUCGCAUCGUCUCUAACUCUUCUUUUACUCUCUAAUUAGACCUUUCGGUACUUAGAAACCAUAUGCUAGAAGGUAUGCCAUCGACGAUGCCGCUAUCACUCAUGGUUAUUGAAUCCUCGUGCUUCUAGCUUUCUAUCUGAAGUUUGGACUAUUCAUUUUCUUCUGCAUUUGAGUAUCUCGUACGUUCUUCACCUUUACCUUACUUACUUAAAAUCUCGCAUCAUAUCUUCUUUCUCUUUCAUAACCUCCCUUCCACAUAGGUAUGAUUCACUCCACAACUUGAAGCUUUAUUAUAAUACUACAAUCCGGUAGGAGCUUCUUACUUACUUUUUAUGAGGCUGUUACUUUUUUAACUGACUUUUUUGUAGAGCUGUUAUAGACUAUAGUUGUUGUACUAUCUCUCUUGUACUCUGAUUUCAAGGGAGAUCCUGCAAUGUUCUCAAUCAAGAUGUUUCUAUUUUAUAGGUCCAAUAAUCAAACUCCUGAUUACUUAGUUGAUGUAACUCUUCAGUUUCCUCUUCCCUCCGAUCAACCUUUAUAUAGGCUUAAGCUAUCUUCUGAUAUAUGGUUCAUGGUAUUAGUUAUCCUAUUUAGCCUUUCAUGGGCGCUGAGGAACAUGCAUGAUACAAUCCUUUAAUAAUUUAAUCUUUCGUUUAUGUCCCAGGCUCAAUUCUUUCUUUUAACGUACACCAGCAUCUUCUACGGUUGUAUAUGUUGCAUGUAUAAAACUCUGAACCCUUAAGUGCGUUCAUAAUGUAACCAACUCUGGAUCAUUGAUCGAAUAAUUUCUUUCAUUCCAUUUUAGCUUUCUUUCAACGUAAGCUAUUACUUUUUCUGGUCCUUCUACCGCCUUGUUGCGUCCAUAUUUAGCUCAUCUUAGUGCCCAUACAUGCCAGAUAUUUUGUGCAACUCAUAUGAUCUCGAAUAUUACUUUUAAUUUUUUACUUCACGUUCAUUAACCACAGUAGGUGCCACUUUCAUUCGAAGUACUUACAAUGUUGUUGUGAGGCUGUUGUUACAAGACCAUUUCCUCUUUAGGUCACUGUGUUUAGGUUGAAGCCUUCUUCCUUAUUUCCUUGGCUAGUCUUUUAGUGUAGUACUUAGGGAAGACGCUCUAAGUCUUGUAAAGCUGUGAGCUUAUUACAUUGUAUUCCCGAUAGAAUUUUUGAUGUUCGUGUUCACUUGUAAUUAUCCUUACUCACUUACCCCAUGCCCUUCUGCUCGUCAGGUUGCUUCUGAACUUAAAUUUUGACUGUUUCCUAGUGGCAUUCUCCUUUAUUUCCAUAGUUCUCAUACGGUACCUUUAACUACCCCAACUCCUAUCUGAAUAUUUCUCGAGAAUCACGAUAUCAUUAUUAUCGAGACUGGAUUCACUAUGUUUGUCUUGCACGAUCUAUUUAUUUGACUGUACCUUCUUGUCAAGCUAUAACUAGGCUCUUCCUAAAUCAACUGCUAACUACUCGUUUGUCCAUUCUCAUAUCAAUAUUUCGCGUUAUCUUUCUAGGGGUUAUUUCCCUUGCCUUAACUUACGUCUGGCACUAGCUCCUUAUUUAUCAAUAACAUUCCGAGCAGGAACCCUUACUUCCUUUCCUUGACGCCGUGUUUGCAUCAUGUUCUGGAAUUGCAUCAUACAUGUAGAAUUUGGGUAAGUGCAAUCUUAUCCCUUUCUCAGUCUUAUUGCAUUUUUCCUUUAUUAUUCCAUAGUUACUACAACCACUUAAUUCCGACUUAAUGCCAUAUCACUCCAUAUUCCCCCUUUAGGGAAGCACUAUGAUUUAGCUCUAUGAUGAUCUACAUAUAUAUGUUUUAUCUUUUUGGCAUCUUUUCACAUCAUCGAUGACUCAUACCCGCCUUUUGGUAAUCCUUCUGCACUAAGGAUAACAAAAUUCCUUACUCACGAGGGUGACACUUAGUGUAACUGGCACACUUAGUCCUUUAAGCUUAACUUUACUUACAUUGCUUGAUUUAGGAAAGCGUCUUCCUGAAUGACCUUUAAGGGUUAUUCUUCUAUCGUCCAGUCUUUUAUUGCCAGAACGCAAUAUGAAAUUCUCAUGAUGCUGCCUAUUAUCAAAUCACUCAAUCCCUAAUUCAUGUUUACUUUAUCUUGUUCACCAGCCCAUACUGAUAUCUAUUUUUCUGGGGUCUAGCUUUUCCUAUUGGUAAUCACGUUAGAGUCAUGAACUUAUUUCUUGAAAUGAGGAUAUGACUUCAUGACCUAUACUCUUUUGUUUUCUUGAGGCCUAUCACCUCUCGUCUCUUCCUUCACCUAACUAUGGACCCGGUAAUACCAUCUUUUUUUUAUUUACCGUUGUCAUCCAUGUAUCACAUAUUACUCAUAAUUCUUCCUUAUAUCUCUUCUUAUUACUCUGCUAAUAUUUCUACCUAUUCAUUUCUUGUGAAAACUUCAGCAUGGCAUUCUUUUGCUUUUUUUUUGCGCCCCUUGCUCCAUCCAUUGGUUCUUCGGGUUGCCUAUUAUUUUUUCUCUACUAAGGACGGGAACCACAUUAAGGUAAUAUUUAUCCCUCCAAGGCUUUCAGUGCCUAUCCUUGUAGUACCCAUAUCUAGUUGUACUAUUUUAGAGUGCACCUUCUGGGUAUCUCACAAGGAGAUAUAUAAGUACCUUUAUAAUAUUAUUCAGAAAUGUCAACUAACACAAAAAAUCCAUUACCAUUUUGGGUUAUUCUAACCCCAGCCGGAUCCUGAUAUCCUUUCUUGUCUUAAACCAUAUCUACUAGCUCCCGUAGGUCAUAACUGAGAUCGGUAUGGCCAAUUGUACAUACCUUUGUUACUAUCGAAGGAAACUCAAAGGCUUAUAUUCCUCUGCUUGAAUUGUAAAUACUAUUAAUCUUCAUCAGCUGGGCGCCUCGUACUCUUCUUUAUCUUGCUUCUUUUGCUUGUUGAAACUUGUAUUUAUCUUCUGAAUCUCUCAUUAUCUUUCACCAUUAAGGUGGAUAGGUAUUCUUUCCUCAAGACUACUUAUCAAGAGGCUUACACGUUUCAGUAUGCACAUGAUCUGCUGAAGACCUCACAUUUACUUAUCAUAAGCAUGAUACAAAGUCGAGUUCGUCUAAUUCAACACUUCCACACCUAUAUCUCUUAUCGAUCAUCUUUCUGAAUGUAGGCAUGGUCUUAUUAUGAUUAAAAAUAGAAGUUCGAAAUUUGAAUUCUUAUAAGUGAGCUCUACCACACGAUCUAAAGUAAGAAGAAAGAGUAACAGUCCUAAAUGCCCUGUAUCCUCCUGCUUAUAAGUGUGGUGCAUGACACACCUAUAAACACGACUCUACUAGACACAACUUGUAGACUCCCUAAGACAGAACUGCUAUGAUACCACUUUUGUCACGACCCAAACCGAUGGCCCGCAACGGACACCCGGUACCUUACUCAACCGAGCACCAACGUAACGUAUCUUUCUUAUUACAUUAUCAUAUACACGUGACAUACGGACCUAAUAGGCCUACAUAAUUAUUUAUAAACUUAAAACAUAGGGCAACAAGGUCGUACAAUCUUUCAUGUACACGACAUAUGUAUACAAUCCUCUAAGAGUACAUAAAUGUCAUAAAGGUCGAGACAAAGUCCCGCCAUACCAAACAAUACAUGUCUAAAUCAUACUAGCCAAACAAGCAACUCCGAAACAAAUGGAGCACACCAACAUCUUUCGCUGAGCUGAUAGCCUACUUGGAGGGCUUUCGACCUGUUUAUCGGGACCUGCAGGCAUGAAAUGCAGCGUCCCCAAGCAAAAGGGAUGUCAGUACGAAAAACGUACCGAGUAUGUAAGGAACAUAAAUAAGUACAUAACAAACAAGGAAGAAAUAUAGAGUACUUGACUCAACUUGUAAGUCUGAAUAACUCUGUAAAUCAUGAUAUACUUUUAGCGUCAUGCAUAUGUGUAUGAAUGUCAUGUCAUGCAUAGGUACAUGUUUCAUAACAUCAUCAGCCUCUGAGGACAUCCCAUUGUAUCAUAUCGGUCACAGUGGGCAAAAUCAUCAACGUAUACUAGUUGAUUAGGUGGUGGUGCGUAUAUAACGCCAUAAACUUUCCCAUAUCCCAUAUACAUAUAUAUGUGUAUAUAACACCAUCUGGUCACGGGUCAAUGUACAUGAUUGCAAUGCAUGAAAAGUACGUUAAUAAAAUCUUUUGGAUGUCAUAAGACCAUUUUGUUUUUGAGUAAUAUCAUAAAGUAAACUCUUUUCAACUUUCGUAUUUUUUUCUGCUACCCAUGAAUAGAUGAUAAAAUAUUAUGACACACGGAAAUUCAAGAACAUAGAUAUAUCUAAUAAUUCUAUGAAUAGAAUUAUUUAUGGAAUUUGUACAUUUGCACGUUUUGUUCGUAUCGUAUGGAUCAUGCCAAAAGAAAGAAGGGAUAGCCUUAACAUACCUGAGCCGAUUCUCUUGACAAUCCCUCUAACACACAUCAAUUGCGAUAAAACACAUUACGGCGGAUUGAAGUAGUGAAAAAAAUCCAUGUAAUAUUCUUGAGAAAGAUUGUACCGUGCUCUCUUAGAAUCGCAAUUCCCGUUGCUAUUACCUUAGAAGUCUCGUAUGAAAUUGUUGUAGUAUAAGAAAAGGAAUCUUAGAAAAUCUCAUCUGAUCCCAUGCCAAGCUCAAAUCUUCAACUAUGAAAAAACUUUCUCCAUUAUCUUAAUAUGUGUUUGAGAUUCUGUUG
RNAcentral lists this long non-coding RNA (7737 nucleotides) under Nicotiana tabacum (common tobacco). Its description in RNAcentral is "long non-coding RNA (NTAB_LNC009676)". Lineage: Eukaryota; Viridiplantae; Streptophyta; Magnoliopsida; Solanales; Solanaceae. The record is from RNAcentral.